ACAUAUUCUCGAGAUUAAGCCAUAAUUUCAUCAUUCUAAGAUCUACAAAUAAAUGCUAAACUCACAAAAAUAAACUAAUUUCGAACUUACCAACUUCAUUCUUGAACAACCCAUCCAUAUGACAUCCUUAACUUUCUAGCUUCAAUAAUCAUCAUCAAAGACUUACACUCUCAUUUGCAACCAUACCUACAUCUCUAAUCACAUAAUCAUAGCCUACCAAGAUCACACUUCUAUACCUAUAUUUUUCCCAAACCAUGAGAACAAAAUCAUACUAAAAAGACUCAACAUCUUCAAUCAUAACUCUUUAACUUAGCUAUCAAGAAC
RNAcentral lists this long non-coding RNA (324 nucleotides) under Capsicum annuum. RNAcentral's name for it is "long non-coding RNA (CANN_LNC016306)". Lineage: Eukaryota; Viridiplantae; Streptophyta; Magnoliopsida; Solanales; Solanaceae. The record is from RNAcentral.